Cryptomeria japonica (Japanese cedar) is the source of this 569-nucleotide long non-coding RNA. RefSeq lists it as uncharacterized. NCBI's taxonomy places the organism in Eukaryota, Viridiplantae, Streptophyta, Pinopsida, Cupressales, Cupressaceae. The transcript has 7 exons. The record is from RefSeq and is a predicted model, not a curated record.
CUACCUUGAGGACAUCUCCUGUGAGAAAGCCAUCCUCAAGCACUCCGAGGGCAAAAACGAUAUCCUCUCAGACACCCAAAUGACAAAAGAAACAUAUGGGGUUUACAAAAUUAAUGAAUGCACCUGAUGUCGAUGAGGUUCAACAGAGGGAAGAGGAAAUGGUAAUAGUUGCAUCGGAUUCGACUAGGCCUUCUAAGGUUACAGGAUAGCUAUACAAGGCUUCGUAGAAGUCCUACACAUAUAAUAUGGGAUCCAACAAGACCAAGGGAAAAGGAAAUGAUCGUAAUUGAUUCAUCUGUGACUUUGCCUCCUACGACCACAACACAUCCAUUUGAGGCUCUGUUACAACCCCCUUCAGGACAUCCCACGGAUCCUCAACCUCACCCAAUUGUAGAAGACAAAGAUGAGCCACCUAUAGAGCCACAUACUUCUUUGAAGAGGCUCGAUUUUGAUGAUCCACCACAAUCAUAGAUACCGAUAGAGACAUAUAGUUAUAGUUGUGAUCAUUCAAGGACCAGUUUUUUUAUAUAUUCGACAUUUGUAUAUGUAUAUAUCGACUUUAACAAACA